Molecule: transfer RNA, 83 nt
Filed under: Cervus nippon centralis (Hondo sika deer)
Lineage: Eukaryota; Metazoa; Chordata; Mammalia; Artiodactyla; Cervidae
Description: tRNA-Asn
Source: RNAcentral
GCGGGAGAAGUAGAUUGAAGCCAGUUGAUUAGGGUGUUUAGCUGUUAACUAAAGUUUCGUGGGGGUGGAGCCCACCAAUCUAG